CCCGACGUAGCUCAAUUGGCAGAGCAGUUGACUCUUAAUCAAUUGGUUGUGGGUUCGAGUCCCACCGUCGGGUCCA
RNAcentral lists this transfer RNA (76 nucleotides) under Chloroflexota bacterium. Its description in RNAcentral is "Chloroflexi bacterium (activated sludge metagenome) tRNA-Lys". It matches the Rfam family "tRNA". Rfam says of the family: Transfer RNA (tRNA) molecules are approximately 80 nucleotides in length. Their secondary structure includes four short double-helical elements and three loops (D, anti-codon, and T loops). Further hydrogen bonds mediate the characteristic L-shaped molecular structure. tRNAs have two regions of fundamental functional importance: the anti-codon, which is responsible for specific mRNA codon recognition, and the 3' end, to which the tRNAs corresponding amino acid is attached (by aminoacyl-tRNA synthetases). tRNAs cope with the degeneracy of the genetic code in two manners: having more than one tRNA (with a specific anti-codon) for a particular amino acid; and 'wobble' base-pairing, i.e. permitting non-standard base-pairing at the 3rd anti-codon position. Lineage: Bacteria; Bacillati; Chloroflexota. The record is from RNAcentral.